GAAAUGCGAUAAGUAGUGUGAAUUGCAGAAUUCAGUGAAUCAUCGAAUCUUUGAACGCACAUUGCGCCCUAUGGUAUUCCGUAGGGCAUGCCUGUUCGAGCGUCAUUUACACCUUCAAGCCUUGCUUGGUGUUGGGUGACUGUGGCCCCUUUGGGGCCACUCGCCUUAAAGUCAUUGGCGGCCGGUUCGUUGGCUUUGUAGCGCAACACAAUUGCGUCCUCGAAGCCGCUGGACCAGCUCCCAGAAGCUAAUUUUAAAUGUUUGACCUCGAAUCAGGUAGGGAUACCCGCUGAACUUGAGC
RNAcentral lists this unclassified non-coding RNA (301 nucleotides) under plant metagenome. RNAcentral describes it as "partial contains 5.8S ribosomal RNA, internal transcribed spacer 2, and large subunit ribosomal RNA". The stretch from base 1 to 105 matches the Rfam family "5.8S ribosomal RNA", at positions 50 to 154 of the family's 154-position model. The record is from RNAcentral.